GCCUGGGUGGCUCAGUCGGUUGAGUGUCCGACUUUGGCUCAGAUCAUGAUCUCACGGUUUGUGGGUUCGAGUCCCACGUCGGGCU
This 85-nucleotide transfer RNA is filed under the name Felis catus (domestic cat). It matches the Rfam family "tRNA". Rfam says of the family: Transfer RNA (tRNA) molecules are approximately 80 nucleotides in length. Their secondary structure includes four short double-helical elements and three loops (D, anti-codon, and T loops). Lineage: Eukaryota; Metazoa; Chordata; Mammalia; Carnivora; Felidae. The record is from Rfam by way of RNAcentral.